Molecule: ribosomal RNA, 253 nt
Filed under: uncultured bacterium
Lineage: Bacteria
Description: partial 16S ribosomal RNA
Rfam family: Bacterial small subunit ribosomal RNA
Source: RNAcentral
UACAGAGGGGGCAAGCGUUAAUCGGAAUUACUGGGCGUAAAGCGUGCGUAGACGGUUAUGUAAGUCGGGUGUGAAAGCCCCGGGCUCAACCUGGGAAUGCCAUUCGAGACUGCAUAGCUAGGGUGCGGAAGAGGGAAGCGGAAUUUCCGGUGUAGCGGUGAAAUGCGUAGAUAUCGGAAGGAACACCAGUGGCGAAAGCGGCUUCCUGGUCCAGCACCGACGUUCAGGCACGAAAGCGUGGGGAGCAAACAGG